UUCAAAUCUGCUCCAGAACCAUUAGGACGUUGACUUCCUGUAGCCCAGUUUGUGCUCUCUGAGCCUGCCUUGGAGAUUUGAAUGCUGUUUUCCUGGGGACACAGGACUUGGUGAGGAUCCCCUGCCUAGGAGGACAAGAAGAACACUAGUCGCAACAGGGCAACUGUCUGCAGGAGAAACAAUCGUAUCAUCAUGAACCGGUGUGAGGCUGUCAGGGACUACUCACCGGGAGGCUGAAGUUGGCUCACUCACGGGGAUAUUAUCCAAGACACAUGAGCUAGAGACAGAGAUGUUCAGCCCACGUUUUAUUGAGUUUGUACUUGCUAGUCCUUGUCUUGGGGAAAACAAAACAAAACUAAACUAAACAAACAAACAAAAACUGGUGCCCGAUUCUGGUCUCCUGGGUUUAGUUAUAAGUCACCUACUUCUGUGCACUUAGACAUGUCUGCAAGCUUGCCAGAACUAUGUCACAUGACCAGAUUUAACAGUGCUCUUUCUGGCUUAAUUCUAUCCUAAAUUCUUUUCAAAUUCGACAGAUCUGCUGCAGCUGGAGCUUAUUUAUUGGAAUGGGGUUAGAUUGGAUUCCAGAUCUGUCGAGGAUUGUCUGCCUCUGAUCAGGUUUGAAGUCAGGCCAAGCCUGAGACCUGACUUGCAAGGAAGACAGUGGCCUGUGCAGGAAGAAGGCGAGCCUCAAAGAGUCAGAGGCCGACUAAGAAAAUGGAUGGGUCCCUUAGAUCUGAGAAGCAACAGCGUUAUGGAAUAACAGAUCUCAGACCCCAGGGGCACAAAGGAGGAAAUUACACAAACAGCAUGGGCCAUGGGAUAGCUGCAUCAUCAGAAACUGACUGAGCGGUGACAUCAUGGAACCGGAAUCUCUUUCACAUGGAAGAGCUGCAAGUGAGCCUUUAGGAAAGUAUCACACGCCCCUGCUGCUUUAGUCCUCACUGGGUACCACUUGCAGGCACAAUAACCCAAGAACUUCAGGUGUGCCAGAAGUGGCUUGUGACCAAAAUUAUCCAAAGACUGUAACACCCCUUCAGAAAAACAACUGCAAAUCACGAAAAACAAUCACUGCCACAAUGAUUCUUCAAGGUCAAAGUCCUUCUAGCAAACAGCUGUUUACUCUAAUGAUUUACCUUAGUUACAGUGACUGCUAGAUUCCUACAAUAAA
Molecule: non-coding RNA, 1171 nt
Organism: Myodes glareolus (Bank vole)
Lineage: Eukaryota; Metazoa; Chordata; Mammalia; Rodentia; Cricetidae
Source: RefSeq, a predicted model, not a curated record